This 253-nucleotide ribosomal RNA is filed under the name uncultured bacterium. Its description in RNAcentral is "partial 16S ribosomal RNA". It matches the Rfam family "Bacterial small subunit ribosomal RNA", at positions 524 to 776 of the family's 1533-position model. The record is from RNAcentral.
GACGGAGGGUGCUAGCGUUGUUCGGAAUCACUGGGCGUAAAGGGCGCGUAGGCGGCGUCGCAAGUCGGCUGUGAAAGCCCGGGGCUCAACCCCGGAGGUGCAGCCGAGACUGCGGUGCUCGAGGCCGGAAGAGGAGGGUGGAAUACCCAGUGUAGAGGUGAAAUUCGUAGAUAUUGGGUGGAACACCGGUGGCGAAAGCGGCUCUCUGGUCCGGUUCUGACGCUGAGGCGCGAAAGCGUGGGGAGCAAACAGG